Molecule: long non-coding RNA, 232 nt
Organism: Labrus mixtus (cuckoo wrasse)
Lineage: Eukaryota; Metazoa; Chordata; Actinopteri; Labriformes; Labridae
Exons: 2
Source: RefSeq, a predicted model, not a curated record
AUGUUACUGGAGAAAUGUAAAUUGGUACAAUUACUGAAUUGUCCAUGAGAAAAAAUAUAGGUAGGUACUUUGAAUAUUUAACAAUUUCCUUAUUAUAUUUGUGUAAUUGAGUAAUAUUUUCAAUGCUGGACUUUUUUGUAGUCAUGGAUCAUUCAGACACAGUUGUUAGUUCAGUAAGCAAAUCAAGAUGAUGAUAAAGUGUGUUUGAAUAAUAAGAAUAUUUUAAUAACAA